This 253-nucleotide ribosomal RNA is filed under the name uncultured bacterium. RNAcentral's name for it is "partial 16S ribosomal RNA". It matches the Rfam family "Bacterial small subunit ribosomal RNA", at positions 524 to 776 of the family's 1533-position model. The record is from RNAcentral.
UACGUAGGUGACAAGCGUUGUCCGGAUUUACUGGGCGGAAAGAGCGCGCAGGCGGUCGAUCAAGUCGAGUGUGAAAGCCCCCGGCUCAACUGGGGAGGGUCAUUCGAUACUGAUCGACUCGAAGGCAGGAGAGGGUAGUGGAAUUCCCGGUGUAGUGGUGAAAUGCGUAGAUAUCGGGAGGAACACCAGUGGCGAAGGCGACUACCUGGCCUGUUCUUGACGCUGAGGCGCGAAAGCUAGGGGAGCAAACGGG